GCGGCUCUACCCAAGUCUGGCUGAAGGGACCGGUCUUGAAAACCGGAAGGCAUCGCAAGGUGUGCGGGGGUUCGAAUCCCUCGAGCCGCG
Molecule: transfer RNA, 90 nt
Filed under: Sharpea azabuensis
Lineage: Bacteria; Bacillati; Bacillota; Erysipelotrichia; Erysipelotrichales; Coprobacillaceae
Rfam family: tRNA
About the family: Transfer RNA (tRNA) molecules are approximately 80 nucleotides in length.
Source: Rfam by way of RNAcentral